GUUGGUUAUGAAAGUCUAGUUUGAUGCUGAGAGAUCACAGCCAGAUGUUACAUUCCAGUAAUCAAAAAUGAGUUAUUGCAGGAACAUAUAAAAAGAGUUAAUGGCCUGUGGUAUGUUUCUUCUGCUACUAAGACCAAUUUUAAAAUCAGUGAAGUUAUUACCAUUUACACCAGCUAGAGCAGUCAGCACAGACAUCUGGAGGUCAAGUAUUUUUAGUGGUCUGACUUGGAUUAGAGUCUGACCCCCAUGCACAUGAAUCAUCACAAGGAUUAAUGAAGUGUAUAAAGUGUGUGUGCUUGUUAAUCUCAUCUAUGGACACGACAAAGGAAGAAAUUCUUCACAUUGAGAGAGUAAAUGGUUUAGCAAAGAGAAGAAACAAAGCCUAGCCUUAAGCUGAUGAGAAGCCUACAGAUUAAUGGAAGAGUGUCUUUUAUUAUCCUAACUGCAGCAACUGUGUUCCAAGAAGCUAUCCACUCAUCUUCCCUAAAGAUUGUCUUGCCUGUACUUGCAGAGGAGGAUUUUACAUUUUCAGAGUCAGCUCUAAGACCAUCUUUAUGGAGAGAUUUGAAAUCCUUUAUGGAGAGAUUUGAAAUCCUUCAUGGAUGGCAUGAAUAAAAGGCUUGUCUUCAGAUGCUGCUUCCUUGGGGUGUCAUAGUGUUUGUCAGAGGAUGAGUCAAGGGGAUCAGAGAGCAAGUGAGGAAGCACAUCAUGACCUACAAGAGCCUGAGUUGGUCUCUA
Molecule: long non-coding RNA, 738 nt
Filed under: Ficedula albicollis (Collared flycatcher)
Lineage: Eukaryota; Metazoa; Chordata; Aves; Passeriformes; Muscicapidae
Description: lncRNA (ENSFALG00000026283.1)
Source: RNAcentral